RNAcentral lists this unclassified non-coding RNA (384 nucleotides) under uncultured Phycisphaerae bacterium. RNAcentral's name for it is "contains 16S-23S intergenic spacer region". Lineage: Bacteria; Pseudomonadati; Planctomycetota; Phycisphaerae. The record is from RNAcentral.
UCCGGUUUGACACCGGCAGUCUCGCUAGAGUGCACCCCAUGACGCGUUGGCAACUAACGACAGGGGUUGCGCUCGUUAAGGGACUUAACCCGACACUUCACAGCACGAGCUGACGACAGCCAUGCAGCACCUGUGUAUGUUCCACCCCGAAGGGCCUACUCCACUUUCAUGGAGAUAAUCCAAGCAUGUCAAGCCCAGGUAAGGUUCUGCGCGUUGCUUCGAAUUGAACCACAUGCUCCACCGCUUGUGUGAGCCCCCGUCAAUUCCUUUGAGUUUUAGCCUUGCGACCGUACUUCCCAGGCGGUCAACUUAGCACUUUUGCUUCGACCGUGACGGCGUCAGAGCCGCCACAAUCUAGUUGACAUCGUUUACAGCCAGGACUAC